UCAGCUUUAAAAUGAGUGGGGAGGUACUGGAGUGGAGAGAAGCAGCCUUUGGACUUCUUGGGAGGUUCUUGCUCAGGCAUAAAAACAAACGGUGGGCGAGGACUUCCUGGCCACCUGAGACCUGGCAAACAGGAAGAAUGUCCUGGACCGCACGGGUCGGGUGCCCUGGCCUGCGUCCCUGCUGCUCCGCUAGGAAGCCGAGGCCUAGGAGGGCCUUUCUCCCUUGAAUUCCAGCCCAGGAGCCUUCAGAACCAUGCGAAGCUAUGCAGUGACUACUUCAAAGGCCUGGUAGGUGCUACUGGCACUGGCUGCUCUUUCUGAUCUGAAGCCUCCGAUGUUUGCAGAGGAUGUAUCUUUCAUGCUGUGAGGACGACACGGAGGACCGGUUUCCAUUGUGAACAUUUUCUCUGGGAGGAAAAAUGGCUCUCCAGUUCAACAGAAAGAAGGAAGAGAAGGCAAUCAUACCAGAUGUAAGAGGACCAGGAAGAAAACCACCAGAGAUGGACAAUUAAAAGGAACACAAUGGAAUUGUUUUAAAAGUUGAUGUGCAGCUCUUAACAUGGAACCUGACAAAAGGGGGAAAGGUGUGGGGCAGAGAGCUGCUGAAGUUGGGGGAGGAGGGAGCGGUCAGGGUUUGGGAAGGAUCUAUGUUUUUGAUCAGAUCCGUUAACAAAAAACACCCUGAGAACAGGCGUGCCCACCGGUGCCAUGCAUACACACAGCUCAUGUGCCACUGAGGGGCAGGGCAGCCCUCGCUCCGGGCAGCUCUCACUCUGGACGCAACUCCACUCAGGUGGUCACACAAAACACCUUGCUGCCCGUCUCUGUGUCUCCUUGCGUCUCUAGGGCCUCUAGAUCCACCAGCAAUUUGACACAUCCCAUGUGCCCGCACUUGCAUGACCCAGAGGUCUAUGGGUUCUUUGCAAGAGGAGUGCUUCCAGUUUGCUUUACCUAUUUUUUCACUUGUGAUUUCCUCUUAAAGUAGUUCACCUCUGGUUUCCGUUUCUAUGUCGUUCUUCCAAAACAAUGAGGAUAUGUACAGCUGAUGAACUGUUCGUGUUUUUGCAUGGCAACUGUGGGUCAUCUUGGCCAAGGGUCAAAGAUAAACUUUACUAGGAAUUAUUUUACAUCGAUUCCCUCAGCAUCCUGAAUCACUGGCCACAUGCUACAUAUGGACCCUCACUAAGGUGGCCAGCACUGCACUUCUUCACAUACAAGGCUCUCUUCUUCAAGGUUUUCCACCUUUCAGCCCCAAGGGUUUCCAACAUUCACCUGUGCCUGCAUUUCCACAGUGUGGCAGUGAGAGCGAACACUCAAAUAUGCCCCUAAAAGUCUGCUUUCCUAACUCUGAGCUGGAGAGCAGUCAAUGUUCUUGAAGUGACAGAAAUGACUAGCUGCAAAAGAUGACACAUCUUUAAAGACAUCAGUAGUUCGGAAAAGUACUUUUAAAAAACCCCACUAAAUAGAAAUUAAAACACUGAGGUAGAAUUAGAAUCUUAAUUCAACUUUUUUUUCCUCCCUUUCCUAAGUUCUCUGUGGGAUAUACAAUUAACACGAGAGGAACAUAGCAAGGGUUUGAUGUCCUGUAACAUGCAAGCAUCUCUAUUUCAGCAUCGGGCCCAGCAAAGCCAAAUCGACCAAAAUCUCCAGGAAUCAAUGCCCCGAACAUCCAACAUCAAGAAUCAGUGAGUAUGUAGCUGCCCUCCUCUUGGAGGGAUGCCCCUGGCGAUGAAGGUGAACUGAACAAGCGGCUGUAAAAGUGUCUGUACAGCUGCAACCACUGGGGCAGCCUGUUAGCAUAAUGCUGUGACAACUCCAUCCACACAGUCUCAAGGUAGCCGUCAAUCAGGACGCAUCAUUUAAUCCAACAGCACUCGAAGGACUUUCUCCGACAACCCACAUGACAGCAUAUCUACAGCUCUAUUUAUAUCAGCGCCCAGUUGUGUUUACAAUGCUGUAGCAAUUAGAAAAGAUGCAACAGGCAGCAAUAUUAUGGAAAUUUUCAUUUUGCAGUAUUGCCCCGUAAAGUGUGAUCCUGCUUCACAGAGUCAGGCUAAAUGACAAAAGGCUAUUUUCUUCACUCUCCCAGCUCAGACAGCACUUCAUUUGCAGCUAUCUAUAAUUAGAUUAAUGGUGUAGUGCAGUACAAAGCAGGCCCACUUCACAUCAGAUAGCAUAUGAAUUAGGACAAACACUUAUUUCAAUUCCAGGCAGAGAAAGCAAUGACUGGGGUAUUUAGCAUACCCUUUAUGGUGGAAUGAGAUGUUAAUUGUGUACCAUUACCUCUAAACUGCUUGCUUGUUGUAUAAAUCACUGUGCUAAUUGAUGCAGAGAUAGAAAUGUAGCCACAGGCAAGAAAGCAAAGGAAUGACGGCUGAAGAUGCUGGAUAAAGGAUUAUCGAGUAAAACCAUAUGGAGAUGAGGUUCCUUUGAAACCUUUCCUUUCUGCCCAAGAGCAGGAUUUCUUAAAAGUACAGAAAAACUCUUGUGCAAGUAAAGAAAAUUUAAUUUUUCACAUUCCUUUUUGGAAACACCCACUUCUUUGAAAAGUUCCUCGCUGCCAGAAAUCUAAAUAAGAGGUAUGUGGAAUUAAUCUGAAUAUACACUUACAAAAACACGGGCUGCGUAGUUUUCAAAGUCAGAUCUCCCUAUCUGGGUUUUGGGCUCACGGGUUAAUAAGGAACACUUGUAAACUACCUGAAGCAGAUGUUUCUGACCCAUCUACAGGGCAAAAAUAAAUUCUUUCCCAAGACUUGGAGUUGUUCUUCUAGACCAAAACAAAACACAACACAAAACGCUGCUGGCCUAUGUCUGUUAUCGACUCCAAUUACGUAGAAGGAUUUAUUCAGGAUGUGAAUCCAACAGAACCAUUCUGAUCUGCCAUUGAAACAAUGAUUUUAACACCAUCACCAAAACGCUGAAAUUGGACUACUCCCGUUCAUGAUUUUAUAUCAAUAGUAAUGGAUUAGAGGAAAUCUUUUUUGGUUUCCCCCUAAAACUAGCACAACAUAAUAAACAAAAGCACAUCGAAAUUUAAAA
Long non-coding RNA from Canis lupus familiaris (dog), 3039 nucleotides. RefSeq lists it as uncharacterized. NCBI's taxonomy places the organism in Eukaryota, Metazoa, Chordata, Mammalia, Carnivora, Canidae. The record is from RefSeq and is a predicted model, not a curated record. The transcript has 2 exons.